RNAcentral lists this ribosomal RNA (258 nucleotides) under uncultured bacterium. RNAcentral's name for it is "partial 16S ribosomal RNA". It matches the Rfam family "Bacterial small subunit ribosomal RNA", at positions 524 to 776 of the family's 1533-position model. The record is from RNAcentral.
UACAGAGGGUGCAAGCGUUAAUCGGAUUUACUGGGCGUAAAGCGUGAGUAGGUGGCUCGCCAAGUCGAUUGUGAAAGCCCUGGGCUCAACCUGGGAACUGCGUUUGUGACUGCAAGACUUGAGUAUGGCAGAGGGGGGUAGGAAUUCCACGUGUAGCAGUGAAAUGCGUAGAGAUGUGGAGGAAUACCGAUGGCGAAGGCAGCCCCCCUGGGUCAAUACUGACGCUCAUGCACGAAAGGCGUAGGGGGAGCAAACAGG